GAGGAUUGAACACUGAACAUGUU
RNAcentral lists this non-coding RNA (23 nucleotides) under Arabidopsis thaliana (thale cress). The record is from RNAcentral. Lineage: Eukaryota; Viridiplantae; Streptophyta; Magnoliopsida; Brassicales; Brassicaceae.